RNAcentral lists this unclassified non-coding RNA (391 nucleotides) under soil metagenome. RNAcentral describes it as "partial contains 5.8S ribosomal RNA, internal transcribed spacer 2, and large subunit ribosomal RNA". The stretch from base 1 to 122 matches the Rfam family "5.8S ribosomal RNA", at positions 35 to 154 of the family's 154-position model. The record is from RNAcentral.
GAUGAAGAACGCAGCGAAAUGCGAUACUUGGUGUGAAUUGCAGAAUCCCGUGAACCAUCGAGUCUUUGAACGCAAGUUGCGCCCGAAGCCAUUAGGCCGAGGGCACGCCUGCCUGGGCGUCACACGUCGUUGCCCCCCCAUCUACUCCUUCGGGAUUGCGGGGGGCGGAUGAUGGCCUCCCGUGCGCCUCGUCGCGCGGUUGGCAUAAAUGCCAAGUCCUCGGCGACGCACGCCACGACAAUCGGUGGUUGCGAAACCUCGGUUGCCCGUCGUGUGCGGUCGUCGCGCAUCGAGGGCUCGAAAAAAUUGCCGGGCUCCGGCUCGGCUUUCAACGCGACCCCGGGUCAGGCGGGGUUACCCGCUGAAUUUAAGCAUAUCAAUAAGCGGAGGA